Long non-coding RNA from Ruditapes philippinarum (Manila clam), 1069 nucleotides. RefSeq lists it as uncharacterized. The record is from RefSeq and is a predicted model, not a curated record. The transcript is spliced from 3 exons. Lineage: Eukaryota; Metazoa; Mollusca; Bivalvia; Venerida; Veneridae.
GGCCCGUAAGUCUCGUUUACUUUCACUUUCGAUUUACCACUUCCGGGUACAUCGGCAGACUUAUUUACCGUUACGCAUAUAGGUAACCCGAAGAACUCGAGGGAUAUAAAAGUUAAAUUUGUUUCGGUCCUCUUCAGAUUUGAAGGAAUGGAUAGCACGGGUCAAAAAAUGCAGAUGUAUAGACAAGGAGGUAUAUGACAAGUAUAGAAUAUACAGUUGUUCAAUAUGGACCAUUAAUCAACUGUUUGCAUUGCCUAUGAUCCUGAAAUAUCUAUACAUCAAAGAUAAAAAGGGAAAAGAUGAGGAGGAUUUGUCCAUGAAGACCUUUAUUGCAACUACCAUCUUCCAGUUCCUUAAUUUGAGAAUGAUAUCAGAGAACACAAAGUUACAGUGAAAUAUUAGUUUAAUAUAAGCCACUGAGAAUAGUCAAAUGUACUUUCCUGAAGAAGAUGAAUGACAUCCAGCACAAAAAUAUUAAUGUAUAAAGAGUAUGAUUUUAUGGUGUUUGACACUAUGAUCUUGUUAACAUGUUAAUGUCACAAUGAUAGAAACAGAGUAAAAUAUCCACAUUUAAUUGCAGUUUUAAGUAUUAAAACUAGAUACUCUAUAUAUACCAAAGCUGAUAACACACCAGAGAUAAGGUUUUUCAUGGAAUCACAGUAUAGUCAUAUGACAUUAUGGACAUAAAAUGACUAUGAAGUAAAGAUUAGCAAAAAUAUUAUAUAUCAUCUACUACUAAGUACUAAUAUUGUGAGGUAAUCAUUGAUAAGCUCACAAAUUUGCAUUCAAAGCUUUGAUAUCAAGCUGAACAUUUUUCAAUUAGAAUAUGAUUUAUAACUCUAUGAUAAUUUGUUCAUGUUAAUUUUCAAAGUCUUUACAUUUGUAAAAGGAAAUAUUCUUAUUUUUGUAUCAGUAGACAUUCACAGUGUAAAUUUACAUUGUCCAAAUAACUAAUAAUAAUUCCAAGUGCUUUCCUGAAGUUUUUCUUCCACUGGAAAAUCAGUGUGAUAUAUAAUUAUGCUAAGCAGUGCACUAUAAAUUGUGUAAAAAUAAAAGUUUAUUAAACUUA